UACGUAGUGUGCAAGCGUUGUCCGGAAUUAUUGGGCGUAAAGAGCUCGUAGGCGGUUUGUCGCGUCUGCUGUGAAAACCCGAGGCUCAACCUCGGGCCUGCAGUGGGUACGGGCAGACUAGAGUGCGGAAGGGGCUACUGGAAUUCUCGGUGUAGCGGUGAAAUGCGUAGAUAUCGAGAGGAACACCUGCGGCGAAGGCGGGUAGCUGGGCCGACACUGACGCUGAGGCGCGAAAGCCAGGGGAGCGAACGGG
Molecule: ribosomal RNA, 253 nt
Filed under: uncultured bacterium
Lineage: Bacteria
Description: partial 16S ribosomal RNA
Rfam family: Bacterial small subunit ribosomal RNA
Source: RNAcentral